UCGGGAAUUUUGGGCAAUGGGCGAAAGCCUGACCCAGCAACGCCGCGUGCAGGAUGAAGGCCCUCGGGUUGUAAACUGCGGUAGUAGGGGAGGAACGCAAGUGACUGUACCCUACGGAAAGUGGUUGGUAACUACGUGCCAGCACCAGCGGUAAUACGUAGACCACAAGCGUUAUCCGGAUUUAUUGGGCGUAAAGAGCAUGUAGGAGGUCCGGUGCGUCUCUGGUUAAAGCCCACCGCCUAACGGUGGAAGUGCCAGAGAUACGAUCGGACUGGAGGAUGUGAGAGGUGCAUGGAACUCACGGUGUAGGGGUGAAAUCCGUUGAUAUCGUGGGGAACACCAAAGGCGAAGGCAGUGCACUGGUACAUUCCUGACUCUGAGAUGCGAAAGCGUGGGGAGCAAAAAGGAUUAGAUACCCGAGUAGUCCCUGAGCGGGCUGGCAAGGCGCAU
This 450-nucleotide ribosomal RNA is filed under the name uncultured bacterium. RNAcentral describes it as "bacterial SSU rRNA". It matches the Rfam family "Bacterial small subunit ribosomal RNA", at positions 355 to 825 of the family's 1533-position model. The record is from RNAcentral.